This is a long non-coding RNA of Odocoileus virginianus texanus, 456 nucleotides long. RefSeq lists it as uncharacterized. The record is from RefSeq and is a predicted model, not a curated record. Lineage: Eukaryota; Metazoa; Chordata; Mammalia; Artiodactyla; Cervidae.
GUGGUAAUGGGGGAUUAGAGGGCAAAGAGGAGAAAGAGAUGAGAAAGAAGCCAACCUUCCUCCCUGGAGAGUCUCCAACCACCUCUCCCCCUACUGACACCCCCACUCCUACUGACCCAGGAGGCCGGUCAGGAGCAGCAUGUAAGGGUAACUUUCUGAUCCAGGGAUCGAACCCUGGUUUCCUGAAUUGAAGGCAGAUUCUGUACCAUCUGAGCCACCAGGGGGACAGUGCCAAUAUGUCGAGAUUUUUCAGCAAAUGCAGGGAACUAAGAGAUUCAGCUGAGGUAACACUCUCUCCGAGAAGCUUCUUCUGGGCUCCAGCUGCCCCUGGGGACUUCCUUCCUCAUAAAGAAUACUGCAUCACCCUGUGGUAAUUGCCUUUUUAGCUGCCUCUCUUCCCAGCUACACUGUGAGGACAGGACUCCUAUCAAAUAUAAUUCAGAUCUCAACCCACAG